UGUUCCGACAGAGUAGCAGUAACGAGAUUCCACUCUUCGAAAAUGGCCAACCAUGCAAGUGCAGCACAGGAAGAGCCACCCAUGCAACCAUGUUACUUGUUCUUAGAUUACGACCAAAGUAGCCAAACACGAGAACAAUUCUCUCGCAAAGACCUAGUGGCUACCCAAUGUUACCACCAAAAUUGCGCAUGCAAGAUAAGUUUUGGGUCACUUUGCCUGUUUGGUUCCUUUCUUCUCACUUGAUCGGUUCUAUACUAUCAUCAGCUUCUGCUGCUCAAGUUUCUGCUUGGAUUUAUCAUAACCAUUUUGUUAUCAAAGCAACAUGAUGCGACUUUUUUUUGGGUAAGUAGCAAAAUUUUCAUCUUUUAUGUUCAUUUCCAAGCAUUAUCCCAAAAAAGAAUGAUAAAUCAUUUUGUUUCCAA
RNAcentral lists this unclassified non-coding RNA (422 nucleotides) under Hevea brasiliensis (rubber tree). Lineage: Eukaryota; Viridiplantae; Streptophyta; Magnoliopsida; Malpighiales; Euphorbiaceae. The record is from RNAcentral.